Molecule: long non-coding RNA, 632 nt
Organism: Hyla sarda
Lineage: Eukaryota; Metazoa; Chordata; Amphibia; Anura; Hylidae
Exons: 4
Source: RefSeq, a predicted model, not a curated record
CGGCGCUACCAUGACGCGCCGUCCGCACUGAUCAGGCCCACACUAGUGAGCCCGGGGACAGUUGGAGAAGCCGAGCCAGCCAGCAACCAGACUGCACCAGUCAGCCAGAGGAUCAGAAUGCGCUGACAUAGUGAGGAGCCGUCUGGGCGUCACGUUCUGCAGAGAGAACAUUUAGCUGGACCCGGUGGCCAAUUAAUCCAGGAUUGAUGGAGAUUCACUCUAUACUGCUUUUGGAAUAAUUAUACCUAAUAAACUUCUAAUAAUGUUAUUUCUAUGUACAUCCCAGAUGGUUCUUUUCAGUAUCAUGUUACCAAAUUUUACAUGUGAUAAAUAUGUCUAUGAUAUGGAUUAUGUGAUGUGAACUUCUUUUUAGUGCUCUUAACAUUUUACAUUAUCAGGGAUUCAUAUGACUUGAAUAAUAGAUCCCUAUAUUGCCAUAUUGAUACAUGAUUCUAUUAUCCACGAUAUCUGUAGUAUAACUGUACUGUGUUACACUAUCAUGCUUUCAGUAUAUCACCUAUGCUUUAUAUUUUGUACAUAACUUUGUUUGUGUUGAUAUGAUCCUCACUUUUGUUUUGUAUUUAUUAUGUUAUAGUAUAAAUCUGAUGAAGGUCCUGGUAGGGCCGAAACUU